AAAAAGGCUCUUUUCAGAGCCACCCAAUAAAUCACAAAAAAGUUGG
Molecule: regulatory RNA element, 46 nt
Organism: Colius striatus (speckled mousebird)
Lineage: Eukaryota; Metazoa; Chordata; Aves; Coliiformes; Coliidae
Rfam family: Histone 3' UTR stem-loop
About the family: The mRNAs of metazoan histone genes lack a poly-A tail.
Source: Rfam